GUGAAAAGGGAGAGAGAGAGGCACAGAGCAAGCUGCUGUAGGCUAUAGGGAGCGGAGGCCGUGCAGGGUGUGUGUGAGCCUUGGAACAGCAGAGCAGGCACUGAGAGACAGCAGGCAUAGAGAAAGAGACCGCAAACCCUGUUAACUCGCGCUAGACUAACUUCUUGCUAGUUAUUUAUCAUCCCAUCCGAUUAUAUAGUACCUGUCUUUACUGCAUCGACCUGAGAGAAGUUAGCUAACUAGGCUAAUUCUAAAGUUAGCCUACACAUAAUGACUGUGUUCAGAUCAUAGCCUAAAUAGCAUUCUUUGCAUUAGCAGCUUGUAUGCAUGGAAGCCUGGAGAUGCUAAACAUGUUUAUGUUACUUAACGGUCAAUUACCGUGAAACUGGCAAUUACUCAAUCACAAAAUACAGAGGGUGUAAAUCAGAGAUUACUUGCUAUAUACCAACUUUACCAAGCAAAUGAUAAAUUGUGUCAUCUUAGAAGUAUAUUAAGAAAUGCCUUUGGUUUUUGUAUUUGCAGGCCAUCCGCUAUGACAACCAUGCCUGUACUGCCUGUGUCAGAUGCUGAGGAAUUAGGUGGAGUGUCCACUGGGGAAGCAACUAAAGUUUGCCCAAACAAAGAGAUCUGGCACACGCCUUUUGAAUCAUGAUGUCCGAGAACUUGAACUGUGAAUUCCAGUUAAUUUCCAAUUAAAUUGAGGGCUAUGGGCUGCAGGAAUACCACAAGAACUCCCAGGCAGAACUACUAGCCAGAAAGGAAGCCAUCCAAACCAACCUUAAUCACCUGGACCACCCUGUCCUAGACAGUGAUGUCGCCACAAUGUGUGUGAAAUUUGAAAGGGGGGAGUACCCUGGUGAGUUUAGCCCUAAGAUGUUCCCGGUAGAGUGGAGCCGCAAGAAGAAACUGGCGCAACCACGAUAUGAGAUGGGUGAAGUCAAAGAAAAAUGCAGAACAGGCUGCUGCUAUAGUAUGUC
Oncorhynchus tshawytscha (Chinook salmon) is the source of this 977-nucleotide long non-coding RNA. NCBI's taxonomy places the organism in Eukaryota, Metazoa, Chordata, Actinopteri, Salmoniformes, Salmonidae. The record is from Ensembl.